GUAGGGAGCAGGAAAGCAUGGAGGAAGUGUCAGUAGGAAAAAGGAAAGGGAACAGGCAGAGACUAUCCUUCAGGAACCUGAGGCCCAGUGGCAGGUGGAUCCACUUUUCCGAGCACGACCCUGACCCCGCCCUACCGGAAGCUGUCAUGUAAAGGAAAUCUCUCUGGCCACGCCUAGAGUUCAGCACCAUGGACGCGGACAGCGACACCGCCCAUUCUAGUCUCAUGACUUGCUGCAGAGUUUCACCUGACAAAGGAAAUGGCCAAUCCCCAGUUGGUUCCAAGGGCUGCGUGACGGACUAAUUUACAAUGCCAGGAGUGGAGGGGGUGAGAAACCCCCUGAUUUGGGACAUUUAGAUUUGUUGGGGAACCAGCUGACAUUAAAUAAUAUCCCAUAUUGCAAAA
Molecule: non-coding RNA, 404 nt
Organism: Microcebus murinus (gray mouse lemur)
Lineage: Eukaryota; Metazoa; Chordata; Mammalia; Primates; Cheirogaleidae
Source: RefSeq, a predicted model, not a curated record